This 4460-nucleotide long non-coding RNA is filed under the name Carassius auratus (goldfish). RNAcentral's name for it is "lncRNA (ENSCARG00000062195.1)". The record is from RNAcentral. Lineage: Eukaryota; Metazoa; Chordata; Actinopteri; Cypriniformes; Cyprinidae.
GCCUGUGCUAUAUAGAUAGCAUUAUGUUUCAUAUAAAACAAACAUGUAAUUGCAAGAUCAGCCCCAGUUGGGCAAAAGCCAAAAAAGAAAAAAAGAAAAAUUGUGGACUAUCACCAGAAAACAGGUCUGGUCACCCCUAAUGACUUUGUAUUUGGUUAAUUGCUGCCAGGCAUUUCAUCAGUUUGCAUAGUUGAUAUACAUGUGGCACUAAAUUUACAUUUCACCUUUAAAAAUUGAAUAGGACAUUCCCCCAACCUCAAAAUAUAUGUGGUCAAUCUAAAUUUGGCCAGAUUUACCCACAGACACACACACACACACACCAAUUCACAUCGCAUGUAGACCCUAGUCUGCUUUCUAACUUGCUGUCUGUUACAUCACACUGUUAAAAGAGUGGGCAGAGACAGGCUUUAAGUGUGAUUACAGCAAGUAUGAGAUUGAACCUGUUGACUAAUUAGAGCUAUAAAAGGUUACAGACAGAGAGAGAGAGAGAGAAAAAAAAAAGGUCAGGCAAUUAAAACUCCCCAUCAGGCGACCGCAACUCUUUCUGCUCAACUUCACUCUCAGCUACUCCUUAAUCCUCAGUUUGGCACAGCCGCACGUUUGCAGAGAUGCAGAGAUCUUUCUCAAAUAAACUUUCCGGUUCUAGACUGCCAGCAACCUUCCAACCGGGGGGGCAUGUCUCUCUCGGCAUGCCCACAAGAGAGGCGUCUGUGUGGGAUGCAGCGCUGCCAGACCCCCUGCUCAGCCUCUUCAUCAUCCACUUCAACCCCUGUACAGCUCUGGCAGGAAAACUAUGUAAGAAGAGAUGGGAAGGAGAACUGUAGGAGGGGCAGGGAAAACAGAAAAAGAAAAAUAAUUACUUGAAGUCGAAAUAGUGCUCGCUCACGAACUUUCUGCUUGAUGAUCACUUUUCCAUUACAGGGCGGCAUAAGCUUAUACAUCAAAAGCGUAAAUGUUUAUUCAUCUGAUAAAUGACUCUAAAAACAGCCUCUGUUUAUCCUCAACUUCAUCCCCUGAGAACUAAUGUCAACAUCUUUAUUCUUUGCAACUAUGUUGCAGUUAGUGCUUAAUAGAUUGUUAUGAUCUGUGAUCUAUGGAUGGACCUUCAAAUGAAGCAUUGUUCCAUGAACAACAGGUUACUCACAUCUGAGGUGUGCUGUGAGAAAUAACAGGGUGCUAGGUGGGUAGUGCAUAAAUAUACUAAAUAAAAUGUACACAUCCCAAUUUUAUGGUAAAUUGCUCUUAUAUAUAAUUUCUUUUUGACUUACCUGUACCAUUAUUACUUUGUAUGCUUCUUGUACUUUAAGAACGUCAAAAAAAAAAAAAAAAAAAAAAAUAAUAAUAAUAAUAAUAAUAAUAAUAUUAUAUAUAUAUAUAUAUAUAUAUAUAUAUAUAUAUAUAUAUAUAUAUAUAUAUAUAUAUAUAUAUAUAUUAUAUAUAUAUUAUUUAUUUGAUUAUUAUUAUUAUUAUUACACUAUGAUAAAAUAAGAUAAUUCACACUGGUGGAGACUGUGUGGUUGUGUCAGGACCGAUACAGCAUUCAGCUUAUUAAAGAUUAACAGAGAGCAGCACUGGAAUGCCAAGCCUUGUUAAUUCACCUUGAACAUAAUGAGUUCAUGUGAAAUUGCAGCCGCAAAACCCACUUUCUUUUCUUAGCCACAGCUUAAUUUUUGAACAAACUCGUAUUCAUGGAGGAGAUAAAUGCUUAUAUGAGCAUGUAGCAUGUUGUGUUGAGCUCAGUAGAAGAAUAAAUACAUGAACACUAAAACUCUGUGUAUGACAAUACUGAGCGGUAGGAGUUUCAAGGUUUGUGGAUUUUCAGAGAGCCCAUAUUUCAAACAACAAUGCAUGCCCAUCACUAACAAAAAUGAGUACUACUUUAUUAUAACACCUCAUCAUGUAAUCACAGCCACUCGGAGUCUGUGAAUGACACUGAAAAGACUAAAAAUACUGUUGAUGAUUGAGUUCACCAUGUCAAGUUGGUGAAAACCAUUGCGACUAUAUACAUUUUAUAAAGAACUGUACCAUACUCGCUUUUUAAUCAGCUGCUGAAAUGUCAUAUGCUUGACAGAUGUAUUCAUAAACAUGUUUUACCCAAAAUGUCCUGUUCAGGCGAUAGCUUACAUGAGCAACUCAGUGCUGUUAGAAUGGGACAAUAUCAUGAAAAGCACCUGUAACCAUAGUGACAGCGACAAUUUAGCAUUAUCACAAUAGUGUUGUCUUUCAGAAUCAUAAAAGAAUCGAGUCUUUGCUGAGUGCAAUAGUGAGAGUGGUAUAGAUUUCAUGUGACAAUUUAGUAAACAAAAACUUUGAUUAAAUUUCAGUUUCAUUCACAGAUGAUUUGUGUAUUUUUGCUUUGCCAACACAGCUAGUUUCAGCCAAAGUAGAAUCAACUGUUGCUUAUAUCUGUGCAACACAGCUGUGGUGUUACAUUUCUGAAUUGAUCAAUUUAGGUGAAGUGAAUUGGCUCACUCAUAUGCAGUUACUUUAGUUUCUGAAUGAAUCAGUGUAGUUGAACAAAUCAGUUGAGGGAAUGAUUCAAAGACUCACCUUUUUGGUUCAUUAAUGAACACAUUUUAUUUAUUCAUCUACUGGUCUAAUGAUGUGGCUUGAACAAAGUCACACUAACGUCUUAUUUUCAUAUUGAAUACAGUCAAUUAAUGAAUGUAUCCAUAUUUAGCAUUCUAAACCUGACUGACAGCUGCUGCUAUGUGAGCAUACACUAUAUGUAUUGUGUUUCACUUGUUUGUAUGUUCCUCUCAUGAGGGAGGGAGUAUGUGACUAAGCUCAUUCUUAUCUGAAAAUAGUUCAAAUAAAACAUGAAGGUGGAUGGAUAACGGAUGAAACAUCACAAGAGUGAGGUAAGCACUAAUGUAUUUGUGUUGACACUGACAGGGCUAGACAAGCACUUCAGAAAUCAAUUUCUCUUUACUGUUAGCAAAGAGUUUAAAAGUUUUUAACUUUUUUGAUGUCUUCCUUGAAUUUGUACAGAACUCGGAGUCCUCCACACUGUCAGUAUUCGGUGUGAAUGAUGACUCAUUUGUGCAGACGGUCACUUCACAUGUAGGCAGCAAUCACUGUCUGAUGACCUCAGAAUUAUGAAGCAUCAUGAAGCACAUGUGAAACCACCAAAAACUCACUGAAAAUACAGACAUCGACACCCAUCUGUUGAGGGUUUAAAAAUCACACUCCGACGUACACAACCAAAGCACUCUACUUUGAUCUGCAACUAACAACAUCUAGAAAAUUGUUUUGGUUUAUUAUAAUAAGUCCCUGGAAGAAAAUGAAUGCAUGCCAGAAUUGCAGGGCAAACCUGAAUUAUGACUGCAAGAGUUUCCAUAGUGGCCAAAUGUGGACCUCCUGAAGCAACGGCGAAUAAUAAGUAGCGGUGACAUUGAUGGAUGGCCACUCCACAAGGAUAGACACACCAAUUGUUCUUGUGAUAAUGGUUUCUCCUGAAGUGGAUUAAUCAGACCAUCAGACUCUUUUUAUGUGAGUGCAUACAUGUCUCCAUAAAAGAUGGGGAAUGAAUAUUAGACACCAAUCUAACACUCAAGACUUGGCAGACUCUUAAUAGAAAGAGUGGUUAAGGAGGUGUUACAGAUGUUGUUGCCACUGAAACAAUCACGCAAAUAUUUCUAAAUAUGUUUGCAGCCGGGCCUACUGAAUAUACCAGUGCAGUCAAUGUUUUAUCCUUAAUUUAUUGCACAAAGUAAAGCCACUACUCUUUCAUGUUAAACUAAUGGAAAUUUAAUUAUGGAUUCAGGACGAGCCUUUUCAGAAAGCAUUUCAAUAGUUCAGCUAAUCAAGACUUCUUUAACAGUUUAAAUUAACUUUUUGUUAAGGAUGACCUGCUUUGACAAAACCCAGCUCACUAUAGAUUAUGAUGUCUGUCAAGCUCCAUUCGUGGUCAUUCAGACUGAAGCAAGUCCUCAAGGGCAAAGGCAGAAUGCAGAAAGGCCCAUUCUUCAUGCUAUCAAUCUGACCUGGCGAAUUGCAGAUACCAAACUUUCCAAAUUUCCCUAAUGGCGUAUCGUCUGAGUUUUUGAUAGAGAUAUCAAAUACGAUUACUGGAUCAGUUCUUGCUCCUUGGUUUGUGAUCACAAAAUAUGAGAGCUUUAGUGGGAGCAUCAACCAGAUUAACUGCGAAAGCUGUGGGAGUGAUGUCCAAUGAGGUUUUGGGCCCCAAACCAGAAUCUCUGUUUCAUCUGACUUCAGAGCAGAAGUAUUACCUCUGUGUCUGGGAGACACGCUUUCAGCCACAACAGACUGAGUUCUUCAUCUGUUCUCACUGAUAUGUGGAUUGAUGUUCCUCGAGCGACAUGAAAAGCACAUGCGCAAAUUUCCUACUCAAGAUUCGACAUUGAUACCUCAUAAAAAAUUAAGUGCCCCGAAAUUAAACCCCACACUAUACCACUGAGAUUCUUCAUCUAGCGCGACUGGAGGCGUCACUCUAAUUG